Molecule: long non-coding RNA, 2112 nt
Organism: Tyto alba (common barn owl)
Lineage: Eukaryota; Metazoa; Chordata; Aves; Strigiformes; Tytonidae
Exons: 3
Source: RefSeq, a predicted model, not a curated record
AAAGAGAUGCUGAACUGCAGACAACUGUGCUGAGGGAUGCUUGCUACCUACAGGAGGGAAGUGAUGCUGGGACCCGGUACCACCAUGCAGGCUCUGCACUGCACAAUGAGGAUGCACACUCUCCAUGAUGCAAACUGGCACAGAGAAACUCCCAAAUACUUGUGGCUCCUCCACGAUUUAUGGUGCUGAACUUUCCAGCUUGCAAGGAGCACGUGAGGAAGGUUAUACCAGCUGCUAGAAACAAAUCUGCUCCGCAACAGAUGUGAGGUGUUUGCUUAGCUAUCGCAUGGACUUUCAGAUCAAAUCCACACUCUGCACAGGAACAAGGACACCAGCGUUUGGUUUCUAGAGUGAAUUUCAUGAGCUGGCAUUGGUGAGGUGCUUGCCAAGGUUGACUGAGCGAAGAAGGACCUCUGCAAAGAAGCCAAAACCAAAAUCUGUUAAGAAGGGGGAAAGAAAUCCCCGUCUUCCGACCUGCAUUACUUGAAAGUGGGGAUUCAGACCAGCUGCCUACUUUUAUUCACAGCUCAUCCCAGCAAGCAAGGGCUCACCUCAUAUAACACGACCUGGAUAACAGAAGCUGGGACAUCUUAUGUGCAGCAGAGCAAACUGCCCCAUGACAGGAGCUCAGACUGAAAAGUGGAGAACAAACCUCUGACCUCCUUGCAGAAGACCAGGAAGGGAGCAGUGUCCCUGAGUGUGACAGCAGACACAAAUGCUGGUGCACUUCUGGAAGGCAAUCGCAGCAGAGUUUUGUAGGUGAAGGUUUUGUGAUCCAAAUAAUCUCUGAGUCUGGCAGGACCUUCACAAGGAUUGUAGGUCAGACUAAGCAAGGCUGGAUUGUGGAGCUGGUCGGCAGACUUGUGAGCACAGCCUUGGAUUCCCACGGAAUAAAUUACUUCCCUGCUGGCAGGAGCCCUUCCACUGUGCAAGGGCAUCAGGACACCCACGGCUUGGGUGCAAGAGGUGGGAAAAGAGCAGAAACCUGCUUCCUGGGUUUAAUGCUGUUAACACUGUUGCAUCUGUGUUCUCAGCAAGAGCAGGCUCCGUGCGCUCAACAGAUAGGGCUGCUGUGCAGCACGCACCCUUGCCUGCCACUUGUGGGCUGGUUGCUUGGACUGGUGUGUAAGAAGUGCUCAGUAACUCCUCCAUGGAUGGACAUGCAGGUCUGGUAACUGGAGCCUGCAUCAGCGUACCAGAAGAGCUCCACAGCCCUCAGUUCUCACUAUGUCCCCUGGACACUAAGGCUUCGACUCCAGAAAACACCACUGACAGUAGAAGGCUCCUCUAGGAAUGCUGCCAGGCACGCAGGGCAGAUCCAAGUUUUCAAGACCAGCUGCAGCUGAUGGCAGAGUCAAGAAAGUGGCCAUGGGCCCAGUGCCCUUGCAGCUCUUCUUCUGUGUGGGGUGCAGGAGGGAGGGCAGUGUCUGGGGGACCACCCCUGAUCACCAGCUUCAGCACGGAGAUACGGCUUUUCUCCUCAUUUGUGUGCUGCCCACCACAUGUCACCUUGUCCUUGCCUGACCCCCUGGCGAGUGUCUAGGGGGCCUUCCCAGCCUUUUUGUGCAGUGCAAACCAUCAACAGGCCGCUGCUCCCCCCCACCCCCCCCAGGGAAUUUCCAUUCCUUCAUGGGAUCCCUUCAUGAGGCCAUGGGAGUGGUGCAGCUCAGCCUUCAGGGCGACACACAAACAUUUUUCACUGUGGCUGAGAAAAGACCUCCUAGAGCGGGGCAAUGAGACCCACACAUGGGAGGGAUGGCUGCUCAAACAUGCCUGGUCUUCUAAAGAGGGCUGGGACAGUGGAUCGCUCCCCUGCUUGUCAUCAGGGACUCUCUGGAGGGGGGGGAAGUGAUGCAUGCAGCUGCAGGUUUUGCACUGCUAGCAUCUGUGUAAAUUUUAUGAAUUCAUGUCAUGACUCCUACAUGUUAUCCGAAUCCAAUGUGGGAAUAUGAGCUAAAGCUGGAGUAAUCACCUGGGGUUCAACACUAGCGUUGUUAUGAAAAAUAAGUAUGUGGUUCAAAAGCUGAUCUCUGUAAUAAAUUGUUUCCUACUUUUCAGGAAUGUGAAAUCGUUAGUAAAUGGACUCAGUAUGUCCACCAGGCUGAAAAAUAA